GACGAACGCUGGCGGCGUGCUUAACACAUGCAAGUCGAACGGAAAGGCCCUGCUUUUGUGGGGUGCUCGAGUGGCGAACGGGUGAGUAACACGUGAGUAACCUGCCCUUGACUUUGGGAUAACUUCAGGAAACUGGGGCUAAUACCGGAUAGGAGCUCCUGCUGCAUGGUGGGGGUUGGAAAGUUUCGGCGGUUGGGGAUGGACUCGCGGCUUAUCAGCUUGUUGGUGGGGUAGUGGCUUACCAAGGCUUUGACGGGUAGCCGGCCUGAGAGGGUGACCGGCCACAUUGGGACUGAGAUACGGCCCAGACUCCUACGGGAGGCAGCAGUGGGGAAUAUGGCACAAUGAGCGGAAGCCUGAUGCAGCAACGCCGCGUGCGGGAUGACGGCCUUCGGGUUGUAAACCGCUUUCGCCUGUGACGAAGCGUGAGUGACGGUAAUGGGUAAAGAAGCACCGGCUAACUACGUG
Molecule: ribosomal RNA, 468 nt
Filed under: uncultured bacterium
Lineage: Bacteria
Description: partial 16S ribosomal RNA
Rfam family: Bacterial small subunit ribosomal RNA
Source: RNAcentral